AUGCACCACGCAGGUCAACCUCAGCCGGGGACGCGUGUGGGGCAAAUCAAAUGUUCCACUGCUCUGUGCACGUCCGCCAAUGACUUUGAAAGCGCCGCGAGUAUGGACUUGGGGGUUGCAAAUAAAUUUGAGAGAGUAGGAGACUUUGCAAACAUGGAAUCCAUGAAUCAUGAGGCCCGACUUAUAUUCACGGCUGGUUGUUGGGCAUCAAGACAAUCUGGAAGGAUCCAAGAAACCGGAACUUCUCCCUGGAGAGACACAAAUGGCAGGCAGUUUCCUCACAGAAAUGCCGAGACCGCUGUUCUGGAGUCAGAAGACCAGAGUUCAAAUCCUAAACUCCCAUUGGCAAAGUAAGAACCCAGACCCAGCAGGUUGAUCUUGUCUUUUUUUAUUUUUUAUUUUUUUUUUUGGCGGGGGGGGGGGGGGAGGAGCAGGUUCAGUUUCGACAUCUGUAAAGGAGGGAUAACAAUACCUACGGUUCCAGUUUUUUGGUGAAGAUUAAACCAAGAGAAUGUACAGGACAUGCAUGGCACCCAGUGAGGACUCACGGAGGCUCACCACCUGGGGUGGGGUUCCUGUUGUUUUGUUAUGACUUGGGUACAGUUUAGAUCGGGCUCAAUGACUCAGUCAGGAUUGAAUUGGUGUGGUUAUUCGUUUCCUGGGCAACCCUGAGCCCUCCCUUUGUUUCAGUUAGCAGAUUGGUGCUCAGAGGCAGAAGCUGCCAGAAGUGGACACGAUAAGGAAGAGAGAAACACUGUAUGAACCGUCCGCUGGGAAACCUCCGCAGUCUGGGGCCCUCUGGUGCAGGGACUAACAACCGUAUUUACCCCACUACCCACUACAUCCGGGUUCAUUCACCUUCAUCCCUAAUGAAGAUGGGGAGACACCAUGGAAAGCCUCACCUUGCGUUUAAAAAAAUUUUUUUUAAAUGUUUGUUUAUUUUUGAGAGAGAGAGAGAGAGAGACAGAGUAGAGUGUGAGCGGGGCAGGGGCAGAGAGAGAGGGAGACACAGAAUCUGAAGCAGGCUCCAGGCUCUGAGCUGUCAGCACAGAGCCCGACGCGGGGCUUGAAUCCACAAACUAAGCCUCACCUUGCGUUUUAGCACGUCAUGCACUAGGCAGAGAAAUAAACCGGAGAAUGUAAUUGCUCA
RNAcentral lists this long non-coding RNA (1150 nucleotides) under Felis catus (domestic cat). Its description in RNAcentral is "lncRNA (ENSFCAG00000051008.1)". Lineage: Eukaryota; Metazoa; Chordata; Mammalia; Carnivora; Felidae. The record is from RNAcentral.